UGCGCAGGCGGGAGGAUAGGUCGGAUGUGAAAACCCCGGGCUCAACCCGGGGCCUGCAUCCGAAACCAUUCUUCUUGAGUAUCGGAGAGGGAAGCGGAACUCCAGGUGUAGCGGUGAAAUGCGUAGAUAUCUGGGGGAACACCGGUGGCGAAGGCGGCUUCCUGGACGAAUACUGACGCUCAUGCACGAAGGCUAGGGGAGCAAACA
Molecule: ribosomal RNA, 207 nt
Filed under: uncultured bacterium
Lineage: Bacteria
Description: partial 16S ribosomal RNA
Rfam family: Bacterial small subunit ribosomal RNA
Source: RNAcentral